RNAcentral lists this long non-coding RNA (3847 nucleotides) under Hordeum vulgare. RNAcentral's name for it is "long non-coding RNA (HVUL_LNC009054)". The record is from RNAcentral. Lineage: Eukaryota; Viridiplantae; Streptophyta; Magnoliopsida; Poales; Poaceae.
CUUCCCAGUCAGAAUGCUUGUAGGUUAAGGCAGAAGGCAUGGGUUCACGCUUUGAAAAAAGUUAUCCAUUCUUAGUUGUGCUUGGUGUGUCGGCCUUCGAGGCCCUAUCUAUGUAAUGACUUGGCCUUAAUGGUCCUUAUUUGUAUUAGACGAUGUGUAUGGAUGUAAGACUCUCGUGAUUCCGCUUAUGUGUGUUCAGUGAGCAUUGAUCUUUGGGAUCACUGUACACGUGCAUUCGGUGAUCAUGACUUACAAGUCGGGGUCCCCACAAAGCUAGUAUGAGAGCCACGUUGACUGUUGGAAGCCUUUUCUAGCAUGGAUGUUAGAUAGGGCAAAACCCCUUUCAAAAUCUACACCUAGCCUUUACACUUAUGAGUUCUACAUUUCUUGCCUGUUCCACUCUAUUUUCAAAGACCUUUACUAACACAUCUUCUUAAACGUUAUAGAUGGUCGUCGUACAAGAAAACCUUCUACAAUCUGGCUUUCCCCUACUCCUUGAGGACACCCUGGAGAAGUGUCGGAUCCGCCGAUCACCCGUUUUCCUCUACCACGAGAACUCGGUCAAUGCAACCACAAAGGAGUACCAUGUUCAUGUGGUCGUGAAGGCAAAUGACUCCCCGACUAGCUGGUUCUUUCAAGGACCGCAGAUGGAGACUCUGGAAUUAACAGUCGAGACAUCAGCGUGGAAGGCGCUCAUCCACCUUCAUAACAUCCUUCCUGAGAUGGCCGACAAACCGGCUACUCAUCAAUUACCCUUCGUGUAGGAUGAUGUUGGUGGGAGUUGGACGUUAACCCCAUCCCCAUAAGAAGGAGCACCAGGGUGGCUCACCAUCUCAUCAAGGAAUCCGUGAAGCUACACCAGGAACUUCACCACACCCGUGAGCUGCUCUGUCAAGCUAAGAUGAAGUCAGGCAAGAUCAAGAAGGAUGGAGCCCCUGAGGGGCAACCUGUUGUCUCUUACAAAGGAGGAAUACCCCCAACUAGAUAUACACCCACAAGGCAUCAUCGCAUGAGUGCGGAGGAGUAUCACGAGCUCUUCACCGCCCCACUGGUGAAGCGUCAUCGGAAUGGACCCCCCGUUCUGCAACUCGCUUGAUAGGAGACGAUACUUGUACACAUGAUGACCAGGAGGAAGACCUAGAGGAGCGUGAGUACGAGAUCGAGCAGUCCACUACUUGAGUCCCACAACCCCUAAGGUAGGACAAUUUAUGAACCCCUCAUGCCAAGUCGUGUCAGUGUAAUAGUUCAUUUGAAACCAUGUGUGCCUGUUUUUUAUUUUUCUAUUUGUGUUUCGAUGCAAGUCGCACUUUUGCCUUAGGCAACAUGUAAGUGACUACAUCGCUUAUCAUCUUAAGGUUAUAUGAUGGGUCUUUUGGAUGUUUAUUUGACACACUUGCACUAUACCGACCCCCCUUUUAGGCGCGUUCCCCUAUUGUUGUUAUUCCUUUCGUCUAUCUAGUUGUUUGACUUGGCUGCUCCAAAUAGGAUGGUGACUGCUACUCGCACCAGUACUUUUGGCAACCCCAGCACACGCGAGUCUAGCCAGCAGCGAGAAGCUCGGUGGGUCUGCUCAAACUGGAGGUCACUAGGAGCAGACACAAGACGAUAUUCCCCUACCACCGCCUCCACCGGAGAACCUAACUAUGGCUCAGCUUCUCCUAGAUCUCCGAAAAGAAUGCCAAGCCAACACUGUGUCUAUCCAUCAGAUGGCCCACGUUCUCGUGAACAACCCGCAGCUCAGCUAGAACGACAAUGGUCGUUCCACUCUGUUAGAGUUCAUGAGGUCUUCGCCGCCGACCUUCACUGAGAUAGCUGAACCUUUGGAUGUUGAUGACUAGAUCCGCACCAUCAAGGACCUCCUUGCAUUGUUCAACUGCAAUGAGGACCGCGAAAAGGUUCUCUAUGCGUCUCACUGCCUCAGAGGUAUUGCCAAAGCUUGGUUGGAUGGAUUCAAGGUCAUGCAAGGUGAGCGUGUUAUCACAUGGGAUGAUUUCAAGCAAGGAUUCCGUACUUGCCAUAUCCCUUCUAGGAUUAUGAUCAUCAAGAAGCGGGAGUUUCCAGCGCUGUAGCAAGGAAGUGGCUCAGUUAAGGAGUACCUAUCAGGGCCGGUUUUCCUGGGAUUUUAAUUCCCAUCAAAAUGACCCAUGUGCAUAGCAGCCCCAAGAAUAUUGUUAGCUAGUACACAAAUCCUUGAUACAAACGUCCAAUCAAAUUACAGAUUUGAAGUUCAUGACCAAGAUGGUCUAUGGAGUACAUCAAAAUGAUUUCUACUUGUUGAUGGCGGAAGCGGUUCAGGGAUCUACAACAUCUAUUGGACUCCAUUCCCAACAGGAACAAUUGACCUGGAUAAUUCCUAUCUCACGCGGUUGCUGUCUUCGGUGCCUAGGUUCCGGGGCUACCACCGGGAUGCACUUUUCCAAAUAUGCAAUCUAGCCAAGACAAUAGCCAGGGACAAGCGAGUGAGUACUUUGAAUGUACUCGCAAACAUCAUGAAAUUAGACAUAAAAUAGCUGGUGAUAAAUGUGCACUUGAAAUCAUUCAAUGAUGUUACCUUAGUCAUAAUCCAACUUCUUAAGUGCAAGCAGACAUAUGUUUUAACCAUACUGAGAAUUUAAUAAGGAAACAAUGAAAGAAAAUUUUAUUGGAACAUCGAAUGGUAGUCCUCCCGAAUAUUUCCAAGAACAGAAAAAUAGUCCGACCGGAUGUGUGGAGCGACGCCUUGAACGGAUAAGAUAUAAAGCAUGCCUUAUUCGGGCGUCUCAGCGACACCAGAUAAAGGGCUUAUAAGAAAUAAUAAGAUACAUGCCAUGGUCGGGCGUCUGAGCGACACCACAUAAAGGGCUUAAAUGAAAUAAUAACAAUCAUGCCACACUUAGGCGUUUGAGCGGAACUGCAUAAAGUUCUUAUUAGAAAUAAUACCAAUGAAUAUUCAGGAGGUAGAACCGUCUCAGGGAUAUUCAACAUUCAUGUAUCAUAAAGGUUAGUCCAUGAUAAAAUAAUAAUUAUGAUCAUCCACCAUAUUUCACGAUUUUCUCAUGGUUAAGUUAACUUCCCCUGAAGACAGACACUUGACGCGUUAACUAGUCGUCCUUGACCGUGUACACGGCUACUCGAAUUGUCUUAGAAAAUUUUCAAAUAAAUAGUAGAAAAUUUGUCUUAGAAAAUUUUCAAAUAAAUAUUAAAAUAAACUAGAUAAUUUUAUGAAGAGGUGAGAAAAAGAAUCAACUCAUUUGAAGUUUUAUUUUAGAAAUUAGAGCGAGUCAAAGUUUGGUCAAUGUUUUGUUUUAAAAUAAAUGAGAAAAGGGAAAACGUUUCGGACGGAAAUACGCAAGCGCGAGGAAAAAACGUACUUCACGGCAUGCGCGGCCACUUAUCCAGCACACGCGUGACUCGCGAGUCACUGACAGUGUGCCGCCUAGCCAAUUGGUCAGGUUUGACCGGUCUCCUCCUUUCUCCUCCUGUGAUAGAACCGGGACGGAGCUCGGCGACCAACACCAGCAAGGGGGGCUUCAUGCGAGGUGGCGAGCACCCGAGGGAGCUCAGGGGGUCACGACGGUCCUGAGGAGGGGAUGCGAGGCCGCCAUAGUGGGCAGAGCCGUCGGCGGCGUGCUAACCCGAAAAGCUCCGACGGGACCAAAAUUUGGGAAUCUCUCUCUGGUGCUCUUGAGGCCGAAUUUGGACCCGGGAUGGAUUCAAGGGAACUCCACGGGGCUUUGGGAGCGAGAGAGGGAGGGGAUAGGGUCUGUUCAGGUCGAAUUCGACCGAGACGGCCAUUGCUACUGGACACGAAGAGGAUGACCCUCUUGGUCUCAAUUGGCUCAAACGGAGGGUUACUGCGGGGCAGUGG